UGCAGUCGAACGAUGAAGCCCAGCUUGCUGGGUGGAUUAGUGGCGAACGGGUGAGUAACACGUGAGUAACCUGCCCUUAACUCUGGGAUAAGCCUGGGAAACUGGGUCUAAUACCGGAUAGGAGCGUCCACCGCAUGGUGGGUGUUGGAAAGAUUUAUCGGUUUUGGAUGGACUCGCGGCCUAUCAGCUUGUUGGUGAGGUAAUGGCUCACCAAGGCGACGACGGGUAGCCGGCCUGAGAGGGUGACCGGCCACACUGGGACUGAGACACGGCCCAGACUCCUACGGGAGGCAGCAGUGGGGAAUAUUGCACAAUGGGCGMAAGCCUGAUGCAGCGACGCCGCGUGAGGGAUGACGGCCUUCGGGUUGUAAACCUCUUUCAGUAGGGAAGAAGCGAAAGUGACGGUACCUGCAGAAGAAGCACCGGCUAACUACGUGCCAGCAGCCGCGGUAAUACGUAGGGUGCGAGCGUUAUCCGGAAUUAUUGGGCGUAAAGAGCUCGUAGGCGGUUUGUCGCGUCUGUCGUGAAAGUCCGGGGCUUAACCCCGGAUCUGCGGUGGGUACGGGCAGACUAGAGUGCAGUAGGGGAGACUGGAAUUCCUGGUGUAGCGGUGGAAUGCGCAGAUAUCAGGAGGAACACCGAUGGCGAAGGCAGGUCUCUGGGCUGUAACUGACGCUGAGGAGCGAAAGCAUGGGGAGCGAACAGGAUUAGAUACCCUGGUAGUCCAUGCCGUAAACGUUGGGCACUAGGUGUGGGGACCAUUCCACGGUUUCCGCGCCGCAGCUAACGCAUUAAGUGCCCCGCCUGGGGAGUACGGCCGCAAGGCUAAAACUCAAAGGAAUUGACGGGGGCCCGCACAAGCGGCGGAGCAUGCGGAUUAAUUCGAUGCAACGCGAAGAACCUUACCAAGGCUUGACAUGUUCUCGAUCGCCGUAGAGAUACGGUUUCCCCUUUGGGGCGGGUUCACAGGUGGUGCAUGGUUGUCGUCAGCUCGUGUCGUGAGAUGUUGGGUUAAGUCCCGCAACGAGCGCAACCCUCGUUCAUGUUGCCGCACGUMAUGGUGGGGACUCAUGGGANACUGCCGGGUCACCUCGGAGGAAGGUGAGGACGACGUCAAUCAUCAUGCCCCUUAUG
Molecule: ribosomal RNA, 1134 nt
Filed under: Micrococcus sp.
Lineage: Bacteria; Bacillati; Actinomycetota; Actinomycetes; Micrococcales; Micrococcaceae
Description: bacterial SSU rRNA
Source: RNAcentral